GCGGGGCUAGGAAAAUUGCUGCCUGGGUCGGCUGGGCCUGUGGGCCUGCGUCCGACAGCGCGCGGCCGUGCUUUCUAAGCGGGCUCGGCAGCACCAGACUUCACCGGCCCGGCGCGGGGCUCACAAGUGCUCGCACUCCCUGCGGCCGGCGCGCUGACCGGAGCCUCUGGGUCUCGCACGCAGCAGCUGCAGACGCUGCCCGGCGCGGUGGGGCUGUGAGCAAAACGGCCCGCCGGUGUGGUUGCCCAGACUGUGCUGGGCCCUCCUAGGUGGAUGGCCCUGCCCCAGCCUAACUUCUGUACCCCAGCAUAACCUCCAAAGUAACAGCCGUGCCCUGGGAGCCUGUUCAACACUGAACAUAUCCCACAAUAACACUGUUCCAGCGUCGCUGGUAAAAAGCAGAAAUGGCUUCGCUGGAGGCAUCGACAAAUCUAAUGCAGUAACCUCAUUUUACAGAAGAGAACUCUAAGAGGAUAACUAACUUGGCCAAGAUCACAUGAUGUUUCUGGAUGAGAUUAGCAUUCAAAUUCGUGGACUCAUUAAAGUAGAUGGCUCUCUCCAAUAUGGGUGGGCAUCAUCCAAUCUGUUGAAGGCGUGAAGAGAACAAGAGAAGGAGGAAGGAAGAAUUCACCUUUUUUCUUGCUGCCCACCUGCUUGGGCUGGGACAUUGCAUCUCACCUUCUCCAGCCUUUGGAUGAGGAUUUACACCCUGGUUCUCAGGCCUUCAGGCUCUAACUGGAGCUACACUAUCAACUUUCCUGGGCCUCCAGAUUGCAGAUGGUGGAUCACGGUACUUUUUAGCCUCCAUCAUAAUAUGAGAAAAAAGAGGCACAGUGAAGCUAAAUAUAUUGGCUAAAGAUCACAAAGCUAAUAUCGCUCUUUUCUCUGAAAUUUGCCUGGGGCCGCAGCAUAAAUCUACAGUUACAACCAUGAAGGUAGAAGUUGCUCAUUAAUUCAGAGGGCAGGAACUUGUGAACAUAACUGUUAGUUGAAAUUUUUCAAGAUGAAAAGUUGCUAAAGAAAGAGAAAGGGAAGCGGUUUGCUCCAGUAUUCCUCUUUCCACCUUCCCACUGACUGGGAAGCGGCGGUUAGCAGAGCCACAGUCUUGGAUUAGAGAUAAGAGGGACAUGUUGAGGAAGGUGGAGUCUCCCCCACAGCCCUGGACCAGGCUCCAGUGCCAACAAAAGCCAAGAAGAACCUCUGGAGCAAUCAGUCUAAAUUAGUUGAUAACGUCUUCCAGGAGACCUACGGCCAUCCUACUGAUAUGAACCAGAUCAUACCUGCCCUGAUGGGAUGCCAGAGAAAGACUGCUGCAAGGGAUCCUCUGGAAACAGAACAGAGGGAAGAAGAUACCUUCCCUGAAGCCCAGAUGUUCCAGAAGCCUGCGCCUCAUUCACAAAGUCACCCCAAAAAUGCCCUAGAGUUUGGAGUUUUGAAGAAGCGGGAAGAAGGCCUGAGUAAGGGCCUGGGAACCAAGUUAGAUCCUACUUCAGCAUCAGCACAUGCCAGCGAUGGUGCACACAGGUGGAGAGCGGCCUGCCCGUCUUUUCCAUGGUGCCCACAGACCCAUUUAGGAUGAAAGAUCAGAAAAUUCUCUCCAUGUCACCGCUUCUGAAACAUGUGAAUAUUAAUAUUUGGUGCCUAAAAGGCCAUGGCAAAUUUUCA
Long non-coding RNA from Homo sapiens (human), 1665 nucleotides. Ensembl annotates it as TNPO1 divergent transcript. Its record names the gene TNPO1-DT. Lineage: Eukaryota; Metazoa; Chordata; Mammalia; Primates; Hominidae. The record is from Ensembl.